CCCGACACGCGGUACGUCGGUGCGAUAUCGACGACGGCAAGACGGAAGCCGGUGGGAAUCCGGCACGGUCGCGCCACUGUGAACGAGGGGUCCCGGACGGGAUGUCUUGUGAGUCAGACCCGUAGCCGUCGUCCUGUGCUCCAC
This 144-nucleotide non-coding RNA is filed under the name Streptomyces violaceusniger. The record is from RNAcentral. Lineage: Bacteria; Bacillati; Actinomycetota; Actinomycetes; Kitasatosporales; Streptomycetaceae.